AGUGAACGCUGGCGGUAGGCCUAAUACAUGCAAGUCGAACGGCAGCACAGCAGAGCUUGCUCUGUGGGUGGCGAGUGGCGGACGGGUGAGGAAUACAUGGGAAUCUGCCCAGUCGUGGGGGAUAACGUAUGGAAACGUACGCUAAUACCGCAUGCGCCCUACGGGGGAAAGUCGGGGACCGCAAGGCCUGACGCGAUUGGACGAGCCCAUGUUCGAUUAGCUAGUUGGCGGGGUAAAGGCCCACCAAGGCGACGAUCGAUAGCUGGUCUGAGAGGAUGAUCAGCCACACUGGAACUGAGACACGGUCCAGACUCCUACGGGAGGCAGCAGUAGGGAAUAUUGGACAAUGGGGGCGAACCCUGAUCCAGCCAUGCCGCGUGAGUGAAGAAGGCCCUCGGGUUGUAAAGCUCUUUUGUCCGGAAAGAAAAGCAUCUGGUUAAUACCCGGGUGUUCUGACGGUACCGGAAGAAUAAGCACCGGCUAACUUCGUGCCAGCAGCCG
Molecule: ribosomal RNA, 501 nt
Filed under: uncultured bacterium
Lineage: Bacteria
Description: bacterial SSU rRNA
Rfam family: Bacterial small subunit ribosomal RNA
Source: RNAcentral